RNAcentral lists this transfer RNA (76 nucleotides) under Clostridiaceae bacterium. RNAcentral's name for it is "tRNA-Thr". It matches the Rfam family "tRNA". Rfam says of the family: Transfer RNA (tRNA) molecules are approximately 80 nucleotides in length. Their secondary structure includes four short double-helical elements and three loops (D, anti-codon, and T loops). Further hydrogen bonds mediate the characteristic L-shaped molecular structure. tRNAs have two regions of fundamental functional importance: the anti-codon, which is responsible for specific mRNA codon recognition, and the 3' end, to which the tRNAs corresponding amino acid is attached (by aminoacyl-tRNA synthetases). tRNAs cope with the degeneracy of the genetic code in two manners: having more than one tRNA (with a specific anti-codon) for a particular amino acid; and 'wobble' base-pairing, i.e. permitting non-standard base-pairing at the 3rd anti-codon position. The record is from RNAcentral. Lineage: Bacteria; Bacillati; Bacillota; Clostridia; Eubacteriales; Clostridiaceae.
GCUGGAGUAGCUCAGCAGGUAGAGCAGCUGACUUGUAAUCAGCAGGUCGGGGGUUCGAAUCCGUCCUCCAGCUCCA